UCCAGACUCCUACGGGAGGCAGCAGUGGGGAAUAUUGCACAAUGGGGGGAACCCUGAUGCAGCGACGCCGCGUGGGUGAAGGAGCACCUCGGUGCGUAAAGCCCUCUCGGCAGGGAAGAAGCAGACGGUACCUGACUAAGAAGCCCCGGCUAACUACGUGCCAGCAGCCGCGGUAAUACGUAGGGGGCAAGCGUUAUCCGGAUUUACUGGGUGUAAAGGGGGCGCAGACGGCAAUGCAAGCCAGGAGUGAAAGCCCGGGGCCCAACCCCGGGACUGCUCUUGGAACUGCAUGGCUGGAGUACAGGAGGGGCAGGCGGAAUUCCUAGUGUAGCGGUGAAAUGCGUAGAUAUUAGGAGGAACACCGGUGGCGAAGGCGGCCUGCUGGACUGUGACUGACGUUGAGGCCCGAAGGCGUGGGGAGCAAACAGGAUUAGAUACCCGUGUA
This 445-nucleotide ribosomal RNA is filed under the name uncultured bacterium. RNAcentral's name for it is "bacterial SSU rRNA". It matches the Rfam family "Bacterial small subunit ribosomal RNA", at positions 330 to 792 of the family's 1533-position model. The record is from RNAcentral.